RNAcentral lists this long non-coding RNA (249 nucleotides) under Homo sapiens (human). RNAcentral describes it as "HSALNT0362400". Lineage: Eukaryota; Metazoa; Chordata; Mammalia; Primates; Hominidae. The record is from RNAcentral.
UUGAUAAUUAUCAAGCACUGUUCCAAGAAUGAGGAUUUCAGUAUUAGGAAUUCAGGAGCAGUUUGGUUUGACAGUUCUGAUUCUAGGAUUUUCAUGAGGUUGGCGUCAGAUCUCAGCUGGAGCUGCAGGCAUCUGAUGGUUUGAAGUUGGAGGAUCCAUCCCCAAGGUACCUCACCAAAAGAUUGUCAAGAAAACAAAACAAAACUUCUGGAAUGCCUCUUCAUCUGUACUGUAUCCUUGACAGAAUUC